RNAcentral lists this ribosomal RNA (468 nucleotides) under Gemella sanguinis. Its description in RNAcentral is "bacterial SSU rRNA". It matches the Rfam family "Bacterial small subunit ribosomal RNA", at positions 28 to 475 of the family's 1533-position model. Lineage: Bacteria; Bacillati; Bacillota; Bacilli; Caryophanales; Gemellaceae. The record is from RNAcentral.
GACGAACGCUGGCGGCGUGCCUAAUACGUGCAAGUCGAGCGAAGUUUUUCUGGUGCUUGCACUAGAAAAACUUAGCGGCGAACGGGUGAGUAACACGUAAAGAACCUGCCUCAUAGACGGGGACAACUAUUGGAAACGAUAGCUAAUACCGGAUAACAACAUAAAUCGCAUGAUAUAUGUUUAAAAGUUGGUUUCGGCUAACACUAUGAGAUGGCUUUGCGGUGCAUUAGCUAGUUGGUGGGGUAAAGGCCUACCAAGGCGACGAUGCAUAGCCGACCUGAGAGGGUGAUCGGCCACACUGGGACUGAGACACGGCCCAGACUCCUACGGGAGGCAGCAGUAGGGAAUCUUCCGCAAUGGGCGAAAGCCUGACGGAGCAACGCCGCGUGAGUGAAGAAGGAUUUCGGUUCGUAAAGCUCUGUUGUUAGGGAAGAAUGAUUGUGUAGUAACUAUACACAGUAGAGACGG